Long non-coding RNA from Heterocephalus glaber (naked mole-rat), 4500 nucleotides. NCBI's taxonomy places the organism in Eukaryota, Metazoa, Chordata, Mammalia, Rodentia, Bathyergidae. The record is from Ensembl.
GUUUAUCGAGGUACUGUCCCAAAAUAAAAUACUUUUUUUUUGGUACUGGGGAUCAAACUCGGGACCUUGCGCUUGUGAGGCAGGCAGCGGAACCACUGAGCUAAAUCCCCAGCUCUAAUAAAAUAAUUUUUUAAAGGGCUGGAAGUGUUGCUCAAUGACAAGGCCCUGGAUUCAGUCCCUAGUACAAAAGCAAAAAGCGAGAAACAAAACAAGCCCAAUGGAAAAUGAAAGCUUCUUGAGUGCCGGAAGUGUGUCUUUCUUGUCAUUGAGGCCCACACCCUGUAUCCUGGAAUCCUCCGAAGUUAUUUCAGGCUCAGUUACCUGAGAUUAUUGCCUUUCCACCCCACAGAACCACUCGUACCUGAAAGAUUCUGAUUCACAGGACUUGGGGUGAGACUGGGAAGUAAUUUCCACAUGACAUUUGCCCUUUUGGAAUACAGCUGCCAUAUAAAGAAGUCUGAGGUAUCCUACUGGAAAGACCACGUGGAGAAGGGGGCCCCAGAUAACUGCUAGACAUGUGCAUGAGAUCAUCUUAGUUCCAACUGAACCCGAGCUGUUCCAAUGGAAAUGACAUCAUUGCAAAGUUGUUAAAAGCAUUAGCUCUGGGCCAAGGAUUUAGCUCAGUGGUUCUGCCGCCUGCCUCGCAAGCGCAAGGGCCCGAGUUUGAUCCCUGGUACCAAAAAAAAAAAAGCAUUAGCUCUGGACCCAGACCGACUGGAUUCGAGUCCUUACAUUACUGUUUAUUAGCUAUAUCACUGUGAGUUUAUAAAUCAACCUUUCCAUAGUUACUUAUGGUUUGAUGGGGAUAAAAUCAUGGAAUUCAGUUUGCUAACCUAUUAAAGGAAAUAUAGGCCUCUGCUUUAUAGGCUUACAAUGAAACCAAACACUUAAACAAGUAAAGACAGCAUCUGAAACAUAGUAAGUGUUCAAUAAAUAUUAGCUAUAAUUAUCUAAUUCCCAUAGACUCUCAGAUCUCUAGGAUUAUGUGCUUGGACCCUAAUUUGAGAAAUCCUUACCUACCCACUGGAUGUAGUUUAACUGGAUCCUCUAUUUUCUUUCUCUGAACAACUGAAUACCCUAAAUACGAGUAAACAGGAGACAAGGAAGGGAGGGUUUGGGGUUCUUUUCUGGAGCUGUGGGAAAGUGUAGGGUAAGGCAGGUCUUGAUGUAUGAAGCAAAAAGGAGGCUCUGAGGAAAUAUGAAGGUGCAGAAGAGGUAACACUAACAGGCUGGAGGAGUUUACAGAAAUGGAAGAGGGAGGAGGCCUAGAAGGCAAGCUUGGCCUGCAUUCAGCCCAGCCCGCGCUUCACUUUUAAAGAUGACAGGCAUCAUGCCUGAAUUAAUAAUACAGCCUCCUCCUCAUGAAAACUUGCUGUUGAAUCAUCAUUCCACGGUAGGCUACAACAUAUAAAUACCCUCUGGAGUUCCUGGCAUUGCUGUCACUGGCUGGGAACAAGGCUGCUUCCUAGCUUACCACUUACAAUGUUGUGAAACAAGUGGUUGCUGUCCACUGUAAGAUUCUUGAAAUUGUUAGUUUAUUUAGUGAAAACUUCAGUAAUUUCUUCUGUUCACAUUUUGCGGUUUCCCUGUUGCACCUCUCAUUCACCAAGUUCUUGCUUUAGUAUAUCCAACCCAGAAGGCCUGGCCCAAUUCAAGUUGUAGCAAGUAAAUUGCUGCUUCAAAAUAAAAGUGACAAAAUUUAUUAGAGAAAUUAAAGAAGGUUUAAAUAAAAGGAAGGAAAUAGUUUGAAAAACUCAAUAGUAUAAGAUGUCAGCUGUCAUCAAAUGUCAGGAUCUUUCUGAGAAAAAGAACCAAGAGGAUAUACAGAGACAUAGAAAGAGAUUUAUUAUGAGGGAUGGCCUCACGAAGUUAUGGAGGCUGAGAAGUUUCAGGAUGUGCUAUUAGUGGGCUGGAAGCCCCCAGUACCUGAUAGCAUAGUUCUGGCCCCAAGCUUAAAGUUCUUGAAAAACAGGGAUCCCAGUGAUGUAAGUCCCAGUUGAGGUCCAAAGGCCCAAGAACCAGAAGUGCCAAUAUCCAAGAGCAAGGGAAGGUAGAUGGCUGGUGACUUGGAUGGUGCCCACUCACGUUAGUCUACUGAUCCAAAUGGCAGUCUCCUUAUGGAACACACACACACACACAGUAUUUUACCAGUUGUCUGAGGGUCCCUUAGCCCAGUGGAGUUGACACACGAAACUUAACUGCCAUACCAAAACAAUCCAUAAAGUCUUGGUGAUCCCAAUAAAAAUCCCAACUGUAUUAUGUGUGUAUGGAAAUUGUCAAACAGAUACCAAAAUUCAUAUGGAAAUGCUGGUAGAUAAACCAUGAGAAAGAGCAUAGUCCCUUGAGUUUAAAUUCUUACUCUAACACUACUGUAUCAAAUUAGCAAGCUACUUAAUAGUCCAAGCCCUGUGUGUGUCGGGGGGAUGUUUCUCUUAAAAUCUAUCUGGCACGAGAAUAAAAUGAGACAAUGUAUGUAAAAGACAUACAUACUACCUAACAUGCAAUAGAUGCUCACUGAUAGGUAGUAUUAGAAGUAUUAUGACUAAGAAAUUAGUGUUAGCACAGUAAACAGUAUACCUAGAUGUGUCUGAGACCCAUAGCCUUAAAGCUAAAAGAAAGAGAACCCACCUGGGUGUGGUGGCGCAGGCCUGUGAUCCUGGAACUCAGGGGGCUGAGGCAGGAGGAUCACCAUGAGUUUGAUGGCAGCCUUGGCUGCAUAGUGAGUUCAAGAGCAGCCUGAACUACAUAGCAAGACCCAAGACUAUUUUGAAACAAUGAGAGAGAGAGAAUAUGACUAUGAAUCCAACUAGGAUCCAACUCCCUGCAAUCUAGCUGACCAGUUUAUCCAGGAACAAUACUGGAUAUAUAAAUUUUGGAGCCAUCAGCAUUUGAUUAUUAUUUAAAACUACAGAACUGGUCAAGUAUCUAGUCAAGUAUGGGUGUGUCUAGAUGUCCCCCAAAGACUCAUGUAUUCAUAGGUGGGGCUUUUUGGAGGUGGCUGGAUCUAUGCUGUGUGAAUAUGGAUUAAGGAUGUGAUAACUAAAUUGGUUUAGUAUAGCUCUGGGUAUAGAUAUUGGAAGCCCCACCGUGGGCAUGUCGGGCACCAAUCAAUAGGCUUGUUGCCUGGAUGGAAUAUAAAGGAACAGAAAGAAGUCAGGCUCACUGCUUGCUGACUCCUGCCUGCCUUGUCAAGGACUGUUUCUCCUCUCUGCAAUGCUACCCUGCUUUGGAGCCAGUGAACUAUGGACUGAAGCCUCUACAGUGAACAAGAAUAAACCUUUCCUCCUUUAACUUGUGUCUUAGUUAAGACAUUCCUAGCAAUGUAUAAAGGGAGAGAUGGGAGACCCUGAGUCAGACUCUAGGAUUCUUCAUGGCUAAGAGGUCUCAAGAGGCAGAGGAGGUACUGGGGUGGGGGGAACCAAAGAACAGUGAUGUUUACCCUCCUCUUUGUACUCACCAUUAGAAAUACCUGGAAUGACAUCAACCUGGUGUCAUACUGCUCAUUUGUUGCUAUAUUAGAUGAUUUUUACAACUUUUUCCUUUGCACUUGUCUCUCUUGCUUGAAUUAUUCAUCAUAAGUAUAUGUGAUUUAAGAAGAACAAACCCUUUACCCUAAAGAACUAAGGAAUGCCUUUGGUAUGGAAGCACCUGAAUAAAUAUUGAACACUCAGUCUCUUCUCCUGGAUCCUUUGCAUUCCUCGACAUCAGGUGCUUAACACUGCCUCUCAUUCUCACCUUGUAGCACUUUGUUUUUAAAGACCUCAGCUGCAUGUUGGAAAAUGCCAAUCAGGGCAAGAAAUGGUAUCUCAUGAAAGCAGGAUGAAAAGGAAGGAAGGAGCCAUCAGUCGGAGCUCAGGCUGAUGUGCUCAAUUUCAGAUGCCAUAAGCAAUGCGUGUCUAUCUGCCUGUAAAUGUACCUGUACUCAAAGCUGUGACUGUCUCAUUGCCUAACAUAAAAGGCACACACACACAUCCACCUUCCUAACCCUUUGAGGGCCAUAUUUGUUCAUUUCCCCCUUCCAGUCUGCCCUGGGGAGGGAUUUUGAUCAAGGUAAUAAUACUAAAGAAAGCUAUGAAGUGCCUUCUCUUCAAACUUUAAACUCAAAGUCUUAGUGAGACUUCCAAGUGUUUAGAGGCAAAAAGUACUGUUUUUGAAUAAUGACUCCAACUUUAAGCCCAGAAGAAAGGUCAGUGGAAGGAUUUGAAUGUUCUUGUUUGUUUUGUAAGGAAAAUGAGAUAGCAGUGCCGACUUUUCUGAACACUUUCUCAAAGGGACUUAACACAUCAUCUCCUAACACAUAUUUGAAUUCCACAUUCAAACACUGUGCACCAGUCAUCAAGCUAGACACUAGGAGUAUAAAAAUGAGAAGACACUGUGUAGCCAGAUUCUCUAGUUAGGGCCUAAUAUUGUUAAUGCCACAAAUUACUGCUGUCCAAAACUAUUCAUUUCUCAGAACACAAGAGGAUUCUUCUUACCUGCCCCCUUGAAGUUAGAGCUGAC